Molecule: ribosomal RNA, 497 nt
Filed under: uncultured bacterium
Lineage: Bacteria
Description: partial 16S ribosomal RNA
Rfam family: Bacterial small subunit ribosomal RNA
Source: RNAcentral
GAUGAACGCUGGCGGCGUGCCUAAUACAUGCAAGUCGAGCGAACGGACGAGAAGCUUGCUUCUCUGAUGUUAGCGGCGGACGGGUGAGUAACACGUGGAUAACCUACCUAUAAGACUGGGAUAACUUCGGGAAACCGUAGCUAAUACCGGAUAAUAUUUUGAACCGCAUGGUUCAAAAGUGAAAGACGGUCUUGCUGUCACUUAUAGAUGGAUCCGCGCUGCAUUAGCUAGUUGGUAAGGUAACGGCUUACCAAGGCAACGAUGCAUAGCCGACCUGAGAGGGGGAUCGGCCACACUGGAACUGAGACACGGUCCAGACUCCUACGGGAGGAAGCAGUAGGGAAUCUUCCGCAAUGGGCGAAAGCCUGACGGAGCAACUCCGCGUGAGUGAUGAAGGUCUUCGGAUCGUAAAACUCUGUUAUUAGGGAAGAACAUAUGUGUAAGUAACUGUGCACAUCUUGACGGUACCUAAUCAGAAAGCCACGGCUAACUACGUG